GGGGCGCCAAGUUCGUCCAGCGGAAAAAGGCCACAAAAACGGGUGGGCUAUAGCCUUCGGGGGUGGGGGCUGGCCAACUUCGUCCGGCGGACUCGGAAUGCCGCGAGACUUUUUGAGGGGCCUCCGUGUGCCAAAAAUAGGCCACGGGCAAAGCUACGCCCAAAACUAACAACCCGAAGGCGGGGGCGCCAAUUUCGUCCUGCGGAAAAAGGCCACAAAAACGGGUGGGCUAUAGCCUUGGGGGGUGGGGCUGGCCAACUUCGUCCGCCGGACUCGGAAUACCGUGAGACUUUGCGAGGGGCCUCCGUGUGCCAAAAAUAGGCCGCGGGAAAAGCCGCGUCAAGAAAUAACCGCCCGAAGGCCGGGGUGCCAAGUUCGUCCAGCGGAAAAAGGCCACAAAAACGGGUGGGCUAUAGCCUUCGGGGGUGGGGCUGGCCAACUUCGUCCGCCGGACUCGGAAUGCCGCGAUACUUUGCGAGGGGCCUCCGUGUGCCAAAAAUAGUCCGUGGACAAAGCCGCGCCCAAAAAUAACCGCCCGAAGGCCGGGGCGCCAAGUUCGUCCAGCGGAAAAAGGCCACAAAAACGGGUGGGCUAUAGCCUUCGGGCGUGGGGCUGGCCAACUUCGUCCGCCGGACUCGGAAUGCCGCGAGACUUUUUGAGGGGCUCCGUGUGCCAAAAAUAGGCCACGGGAAAAGCUACAGCCAAAAAUAACAACCCGAAGGCCGGGGCGCCAAUUUCGUCCUGCGGAAAAAGGCCACAAAAACGGGUGGGCUAUAGCCUUGGGGGGUGGGGCUGGCCAACUUCGUCCGCCGGACUCGGAAUGGUGCGAGACUUUACGAGGGGCCUCCGUGUGCAAAAAAAAGGCCGCAGGCAAAGCCACGCCCAAAAAUUAAUGCCCGAAGGCCGGGGCGCCAAGUUCGUCCAGCGGAAAA
This 932-nucleotide long non-coding RNA is filed under the name Citrus x clementina. Its description in RNAcentral is "Citrus clementina (C. clementina) long non-coding RNA (CCLE_LNC000668)". Lineage: Eukaryota; Viridiplantae; Streptophyta; Magnoliopsida; Sapindales; Rutaceae. The record is from RNAcentral.